AGAGUUUGAUUAUGGCUCAGGAUGAACGCUAGCUACAGGCUUAACACAUGCAAGUCGAGGGGCAGCAUUGGAGUAGCAAUACUCAGAUGGCGACCGGCGCACGGGUGAGUAACACGUAUCCAACCUGCCGCUUACUCGGGGAUAGCCUUUCGAAAGAAAGAUUAAUACCCGAUGGUAUAAAGAGUUCGCAUGUUCUCUUUAUUAAAGAAUUUCGGUAAGCGAUGGGGAUGCGUUCCAUUAGAUAGUUGGCGGGGUAACGGCCCACCAAGUCUACGAUGGAUAGGGGUUCUGAGAGGAAGGUCCCCCACAUUGGAACUGAGACACGGUCCAAACUCCUACGGGAGGCAGCAGUGAGGAAUAUUGGUCAAUGGACGAGAGUCUGAACCAGCCAAAGUAGCGUGAAGGAUGACUGCCCUAUGGGUUGUAAACUUCUUUUAUAAGGGAAUAAAGUGAGGGACGUGUCCCUUUUUGUAUGUACCUUAUGAAUAAGGAUCGGCUAACUCCGUGCCAGCCGCGGC
Molecule: ribosomal RNA, 518 nt
Filed under: uncultured bacterium
Lineage: Bacteria
Description: bacterial SSU rRNA
Rfam family: Bacterial small subunit ribosomal RNA
Source: RNAcentral